AACUGGGCCGGCUUCUCGGCGUGCCUCACCAUCCCGGCGCCGCCCAACCUCGGCGAGUUGAGGCUGAGCGCCCUGAGCACGUCGGCGUCGAGGGUGGGAGUCGUCGUCGGCUUGUGGUGGACGGGGGGGUCGGGGGUGUAGAAGAGGUCGUCGGUGUCGACCAUGUCGAGGAGGUCGAGCGAGUCGUCGGGCAGGAGCGCGGCGAGGUCGUCGUCGAACACCUGGCGGUGGUGGUCCUCCUCCGCCGCAGCGUCCUCGUACAUCUGGUGCUGCCUGAACCAGUGGUCGCGGAACCACGCCGUGGUC
RNAcentral lists this long non-coding RNA (306 nucleotides) under Oryza sativa (Asian cultivated rice). RNAcentral describes it as "long non-coding RNA (OSAT_LNC001419)". The record is from RNAcentral. Lineage: Eukaryota; Viridiplantae; Streptophyta; Magnoliopsida; Poales; Poaceae.